Molecule: transfer RNA, 88 nt
Filed under: Petrotoga sp. 9PWA.NaAc.5.4
Lineage: Bacteria; Thermotogati; Thermotogota; Thermotogae; Petrotogales; Petrotogaceae
Description: tRNA-Leu
Rfam family: tRNA
About the family: Transfer RNA (tRNA) molecules are approximately 80 nucleotides in length. Their secondary structure includes four short double-helical elements and three loops (D, anti-codon, and T loops).
Source: RNAcentral
GCCGAGGUGGCGGAAGUGGUAGACGCGUAAGAUUCAGAAUCUUAUGAGUUAUGAACUCGUGCGGGUUCAAGUCCCGCCCUCGGCACCA